RNAcentral lists this ribosomal RNA (3312 nucleotides) under Triticum aestivum (bread wheat). RNAcentral's name for it is "partial small subunit ribosomal RNA". The record is from RNAcentral. Lineage: Eukaryota; Viridiplantae; Streptophyta; Magnoliopsida; Poales; Poaceae.
AUGGUUGGAGAGGUUGGCAAGUGGGGUAGUUCCUUCAAACAUUCGUGGGCUUUAAUCCCACUGGUUGCCCAUGGAAUCAUCGUGAUCGUAGUGGCUCUCGCUUACUCUUUCAUCUCGUCGCACAUAAAUGAUGAUGCCACGAGCGCCAUGGACGCGUCGCUGGCGCACGUCGCCGCCGGUGUGCAGCCGCUCGUGGAAGCCAACCGCUCCGCCGCCGUCGUCGCACACUCUCUGUUCAUCCCCAGCAACGAAUCAUCUUAUUUCCGAUACGUGGGACCGUAUAUGGUCAUGGCGUUGGCCAUGCAGCCGCAGGUGGCCGAGAUAUCAUACGCCAGCGUGGACGGCGCCGCGUUGACGUACUACCGCGGCGAGAACGGCCAGCCGAGAGCCAAGUUCGUGAGCGAGAGCAGCGAAUGGUACACCCAGGACGUUGAUCCUGUGAACGGCCGUCCCACCGGCCGCCCCGACCCGGCGGCUCAGCCGGAGCACCUACCCAACGCGACGCAGGUCCUCGCCGACGCCAAGAGCGGCUCGCCCGCCGCCCUCGGGGCCGGGUGGGUCAGCUCCAACGUCCAGAUGGUGGUCUUCUCCGCGCCUGUCAGUGACACUGCCGGCGUGGUCUCCGCCGCGGUCCCCGUCGACGUCCUCGCGAUCGCCAACCAGGGCGAUGCCGCCGCCGAUCCCGUCGCGCGGACGUACUACGCGAUCACCGACAAGCGUGACGGCGGCGCCCCGCCAGUUUACAAGCCUUUGGACGCCGGGAAGCCCGGCCAGCACGACGCGAAGCUGAUGAAGGCCUUUUCCUCGGAGACCAAAUGCACCGCGUCCGCCAUUGGCGCGCCCAGCAGCAAGCUCGUGCUCCGCACCGUCGGGGCGGACCAAGUCGCGUGCACGAGCUUCGACCUCUCCGGAGUAAACCUGGGUGUUCGUCUUGUGGUCAGCGACUGGAGCGGGGCAGCCGAGGUCCGGCGGAUGGGGGUGGCCAUGGUGAGCGUCGUGUGCGUGGCCGUGGCGGUCGCGACGCUGGUGUCCAUCCUUAUGGCACGGGCGCUGUGGCGGGCCGGGGCACGGGAGGCGGCUCUAGAGGCUGACCUCGUGAGGCAGAAGGAGGCGCUCCAGCAAGCGGAGCGCAAGAGCAUGAACAAGAGCAAUGCCUUCGCCCGCGCCAGCCACGACAUCCGCUCCUCACUCGCUGUCGUCGUUGGACUCAUCGACGUUUCCCGGAUAGAGGCCGAGAGCAACCCCAACCUCAGCUAUAACCUCGACCAGAUGAACAUUGGCACCAACAAGCUCUUCGAUAUACUUAACACGAUACUGGACAUGGGCAAGGUGGAGUCCGGGAAGAUGCAGCUAGAGGAGGUGGAGUUCAGGAUGGCAGACGUCCUUGAGGAAUCCAUGGACCUGGCGAACGUCGUCGGCAUGUCAAGAGGCGUCGAAGUGAUCUGGGACCCUUGUGACUUCUCCGUGUUGCGGUGCACCACCACCUUGGGCGACUGCAAGCGUAUCAAACAGAUCCUUGACAACCUACUUGGCAACGCCAUCAAGUUCACACACGAAGGCCACGUCAUGCUUCGGGCAUGGGCCAACCGCCCCAUCAUGAGGAGCUCCGUGGUCAGCACCCCAUCGAGGUUCACCCCCCGUCGCCCCGCGGGUGGGAUCUUUCGGCGGCUGCUUGGAAGGAGGGAGAACCGUUCUGAACAGAAUAGCCGAAUGUCCUUACAAAAUGAUCCGAAUUCGGUUGAGUUUUACUUUGAGGUGGUUGACACUGGUGUGGGGAUACCCCAGGAAAAGAGGGAGUCCGUGUUUGAGAACUACGUUCAAGUGAAGGAAGGGCAUGGUGGCACCGGGCUCGGACUUGGAAUUGUGCAAUCCUUUGUUCGUUUGAUGGGAGGAGAAAUCAGCAUCAAGGACAAGGAGCCAGGAGAAGCGGGGACGUGCUUUGGCUUCAACAUCUUCCUCAAGGUCAGCGAGGCGUCAGAGGUGGAAGAGGACCUCGAGCAAGGGAGGACGCCGCCGUCGCUGUUCAGGGAGCCCGCCUGCUUCAAGGGCGGGCACUGCGUCCUCCUCGCCCACGGCGACGAGACACGCCGGAUCCUGUAUACAUGGAUGGAGAGCCUCGGGAUGAAGGUCUGGCCCGUCACGCGCGCCGAGUUCCUCAUCCCGACCCUCGAGAAGGCGCGCUCCGCCGCCGGCGCCUCGCCGUUGAGGUCGGCGUCGACGUCGUCGCUGCAUGGCGUUGGGAGCGCCGACUCCAACAUUACGACGGACCGGUGCUUCAGCUCCAAGGAGAUGGUCAGCCACCUGCGGAACAGCAGCGGCAUGGCCGGCAGCCACGGCGGGCACCUCCACCCCUUCGGCCUGCUCGUCAUCGUCGACGUCUCCGGCGGGAGGCUCGACGAGGUUGCCCCCGAGGCGGCGAGCUUGGCAAGGAUCAAGCAGCAGGCGCCGUGCAGGAUCGUCUGCCUGACGGACAUCAAGACCCCCUCCGAGGAUAUGAGGAGGUUCAGUGAGGCGGCAAGCAUCGACCUCAACCUGCGCAAGCCCAUCCAUGGCUCCCGGCUGCACCAACUCCUCCAGGUCAUGAGAGACCUCCAGGCCAACCCGUUUACACAGCAGCAACCACAUCAGUCCGGCACGGCCAUGAAAGAACUGCCGGCUGCUGAUGAGACCUCUGCGGCGGAGGCGUCUUCUGAAAUCACGCCCGCGGCGGAGGCGUCUUCUGAAAUCACUCCCGCGGCGGAGGCGUCUUCUGAAAUCACUCCCGCGGCGGAGGCGUCUUCUGAAAUCACUCCCGCGGCGGAGGCGUCUGAAAUCAUGCCGGCAGCACCGGCGCCAACUCCCCAGGGACCGGCCAAUGCUGGAGAAGGCAAGCCGCUGGAGGGGAUGCGCAUGCUGCUGGUCGACGACACCACGCUGCUGCAGGUAGUCCAGAAGCAGAUACUGACCAAUUACGGGGCAACCGUGGAGGUCGCCACGGACGGCUCCAUGGCCGUGGCCAUGUUUACAAAGGCUCUUGAGAGCGCAAAUGGCGUCUCAGAGAGCCAUGUGGACACAGUGGCCAUGCCCUACGAUGUCAUCUUCAUGGAUUGCCAGAUGCCAGUGAUGAAUGGCUACGAUGCUACGAGGCGCAUCCGCGAGGAAGAAAGCCGCUACGGCAUCCGCACCCCGAUCAUCGCGCUGACCGCGCAUUCCGCGGAGGAGGGGCUGCAGGAGUCCAUGGAAGCAGGGAUGGAUCUUCACCUGACGAAGCCCAUACCCAAGCCGGCAAUCGCACAGAUUGUUCUAGACCUCUGCAACCAAGUUAAUAACUGA